GACGAACGCUGGCGGCGUGCCUAACACAUGCAAGUCGAGCGAGUGAAUCUCCUUCGGGAGUGAAGCUAGCGGCGGACGGGUGAGUAACACGUGGGCAACCUGCCUCAUAGAGGGGAAUAGCCUUUCGAAAGGAAGAUUAAUACCGCAUAAGAUUGUAGCUUCGCAUGAAGUAGCAAUUAAAGGAGCAAUCCGCUAUGAGAUGGGCCCGCGGCGCAUUAGCUAGUUGGUGAGAUAACGGCUCACCAAGGCGACGAUGCGUAGCCGACCUGAGAGGGUGAUCGGCCACAUUGGGACUGAGACACGGCCCAGACUCCUACGGGAGGCAGCAGUGGGGAAUAUUGCACAAUGGGGGAAACCCUGAUGCAGCAACGCCGCGUGAGUGAUGACGGCCUUCGGGUUGUAAAGCUCUGUCUUCAGGGACGAUAAUGACGGUACCUGAGGAGGAAGCCACGGCUAACUACGUG
RNAcentral lists this ribosomal RNA (464 nucleotides) under uncultured bacterium. Its description in RNAcentral is "bacterial SSU rRNA". It matches the Rfam family "Bacterial small subunit ribosomal RNA", at positions 28 to 507 of the family's 1533-position model. The record is from RNAcentral.